UGCACGACAGUCAAUCCCAGACUCCCAUCCAGGAAUGGGUGGAGGACGUUGCUUGCGUUCGCUCCACUAAAACUCGGGACAAAGAGCCCAGUGUUGCAAAGCCUGGGAGGGACGGCGCCUCGCACGAGGCUCAAGUGCCUCCCAGUGGCCAGAGAGCGCGCUGCAGUCUGGCAGUUUUUGGUAUCCCAGCGUCCCUGAACUAUUUACAGAUAACCUUUAUUCUUGGUUAUCCUGAGUGGUCCCUGACGGCCUCUUCUUACCCCAAACCCUUCCCAAAGUCUGUCUCCAAGAACUCACCCUGUGUCCUCCAUGAUGCAGCCCAGCCAGAUGUCUGGACACUUGCAGUCCCCUAAGAGAUUAAAGAACGCCGUGAGACGGGAUGGAGGAACACCGCCA
RNAcentral lists this long non-coding RNA (396 nucleotides) under Rattus norvegicus (Norway rat). Its description in RNAcentral is "long non-coding RNA NONRATT006104". Lineage: Eukaryota; Metazoa; Chordata; Mammalia; Rodentia; Muridae. The record is from RNAcentral.